GCCUGGGUGGCUCAGUCGGUUGAGCGUCUGACUUCCGCUCAGGUCAUGAUCUCACGGUUCGUGAGUUUGAGCCCCACGUCAGGCU
Molecule: transfer RNA, 85 nt
Filed under: Felis catus (domestic cat)
Lineage: Eukaryota; Metazoa; Chordata; Mammalia; Carnivora; Felidae
Rfam family: tRNA
About the family: Transfer RNA (tRNA) molecules are approximately 80 nucleotides in length.
Source: Rfam by way of RNAcentral